UUGCUUGAAAACAAAACAGAUAACAUUGUAAUUACGGUGUCACUGGACGAUUUUAAUGACUAUAAGUUAUAAGAAGUUCGGCGUCAGUGAGGCGGUACAGUCCAAAAUCACAGUCCAUACAGACACUUUUAGUAUUUUGUGAACACGUGAUGAUCCGAAGUUAAAGUAAAUAAAACGCUGAAGGAACAUAAACUGAACUCAUGGGAAGUAAAGGGUCGUGUCUGAGGUGGGACCCCUGGUUCGUACUGUACGUUUCCCACAUCAAGCCACUCUCAGUGACUUUGCUGACGUCCCAACUAUCGAGUUGUCCCGGAACGCGUUUAGAAACGGGGGAACACGAAGACCGCGUGCUGUCGCCACCGGAAGUUACGCGUUUCCCUGUCCUGAUGGAGGUCUGAGCCAGACGAACAAGCCGUAAUCUGGCCUCGUCGAGGAGGCCCAGCGGGCCCCGUGGUGCAGCUCGUCCGUGGGACUCUCGGGCUUUCAUCUCAAUGGGUAUGGGACGAGGGUGGGGGUCUGGAGAGGCAGAAAGAGAGAGAAAGAGCCAUGCAGAAGAAAGCAGAGUUUGGUAAAGAGAUUCAAAGUCUUUGCGUUUGAUGUGUGUGUUGGGAUU
Pygocentrus nattereri (red-bellied piranha) is the source of this 613-nucleotide long non-coding RNA. RefSeq lists it as uncharacterized. The transcript has 3 exons. The record is from RefSeq and is a predicted model, not a curated record. NCBI's taxonomy places the organism in Eukaryota, Metazoa, Chordata, Actinopteri, Characiformes, Serrasalmidae.